UACGUAGGUGGCAAGCGUUGUCCGGAUUUAUUGGGUUUAAAGGGUGCGUAGGCGGUUUUUUAAGUCAGUGGUGAAAUACGGCAGCUCAACUGUCGAGGUGCCAUUGAUACUGGGAAACUUGAGUACUGAUGAGGUAGGCGGAAUGGACGGUGUAGCGGUGAAAUGCUUAGAUAUCGUCCAGAACACCGAUAGCGAAGGCAGCUUACUAAGGAGUAACUGACGCUGAGGCACGAAAGUGUGGGGAUCAAACAGG
This 253-nucleotide ribosomal RNA is filed under the name uncultured bacterium. RNAcentral's name for it is "partial 16S ribosomal RNA". It matches the Rfam family "Bacterial small subunit ribosomal RNA", at positions 524 to 776 of the family's 1533-position model. The record is from RNAcentral.